This 77-nucleotide transfer RNA is filed under the name Campylobacterota bacterium. Its description in RNAcentral is "Epsilonproteobacteria bacterium tRNA-Arg". It matches the Rfam family "tRNA". Rfam says of the family: Transfer RNA (tRNA) molecules are approximately 80 nucleotides in length. Lineage: Bacteria; Pseudomonadati; Campylobacterota. The record is from RNAcentral. RNAcentral also lists the same sequence under 1 other name.
GCACCCGUAGCUCAGCUGGAUAGAGCAUCCGCCUUCUAAGCGGACGGUCAGUGGUUCGAAUCCACUCGGGUGUGCCA